GACGAACGCUGGCGGCGUGCUUAACGCAUGCAAGUCGAACGAUGAACCCGGAGCUUGCUCCGGCGGAUUAGUGGCGAACGGGUGAGCAACACGUGAGUAACCUGCCCUUGACUCUGGGAUAACUGCGGGAAACUGUAGCUAAUACCGGAUACGACCCUCGGCGGCAUCGCCAGGGGGUGGAAAGAAUUUCGGUCAAGGAUGGACUCGCGGCCUAUCAGCUAGUUGGUGAGGUAACGGCUCACCAAGGCGACGACGGGUAGCCGGCCUGAGAGGGUGACCGGCCACACUGGGACUGAGACACGGCCCAGACUCCUACGGGAGGCAGCAGUGGGGAAUAUUGCACAAUGGGCGCAAGCCUGAUGCAGCAACGCCGCGUGAGGGAUGACGGCCUUCGGGUUGUAAACCUCUUUUAGUAGGGAAGAAGCGAAAGUGACGGUACCUGCAGAAAAAGCACCGGCUAACUACGUGCCAGCCGCCGCAGUAA
Molecule: ribosomal RNA, 484 nt
Filed under: uncultured bacterium
Lineage: Bacteria
Description: partial 16S ribosomal RNA
Rfam family: Bacterial small subunit ribosomal RNA
Source: RNAcentral